AUUGAACGCUGGCGGCAGGCCUAACACAUGCAAGUCGAACGGUAACAGAAAGCAGCUUGCUGCUUCGCUGACGAGUGGCGGACGGGUGAGUAAUGUCUGGGAAACUGCCUGAUGGAGGGGGAUAACUACUGGAAACGGUAGCUAAUUCCGCAUAACGUCGCAAGACCAAAGAGGGGGACCUUCGGGCCUCUUGCCAUCGGAUGUGCCCAGAUGGGAUUAGCUUGUUGGUGGGGUAACGGCUCACCAAGGCGACGAUCCCUCACGGGUCUGAGAGGAUGACCAGCCACACUGGAACUGAGCCACGGUCCAGACUCCUACGGGAGGCAGCAGUGGGGAAUAUUGCACAAUGGGCGCAAGCCUGAUGCAGCCAUGCCGCGUGUAUGAAGAAGGCCUUCGGGUUGUAAAGUACUUUCAGCGGGGAGGAAGGGAGUAAAGUUAAUACCUUUGCUCAUUGACGUUACCCGCAGAAGAAGCACCGGCUAACUCCGUGCCAGCAGCCGCGGUAA
Molecule: ribosomal RNA, 506 nt
Filed under: uncultured bacterium
Lineage: Bacteria
Description: partial 16S ribosomal RNA
Rfam family: Bacterial small subunit ribosomal RNA
Source: RNAcentral